Long non-coding RNA from Drosophila ananassae, 2023 nucleotides. RefSeq lists it as uncharacterized. The record is from RefSeq and is a predicted model, not a curated record. NCBI's taxonomy places the organism in Eukaryota, Metazoa, Arthropoda, Insecta, Diptera, Drosophilidae. The transcript is spliced from 2 exons.
ACUUCCACUCAUCAAUGUCACAAACAUAAGUAUGAAAAAGGAACCUGAAACCAGAAAAUCAAGGAAAACCCUCCACGCUAGGCCUCUCGCUAAAUUACUCAGAAAUUCGUGCGAUAAAACAUACAGAAAAUACCCACAUAAAUUUCCAUUCAACGCGCUGAGCGCGUAAAAAAUUCUUUCGGUUUAUGGAUUCUGGCGCUGGAAAUAAAUACAUGUACUAUUUUACGGUUUAUAUUACGUAUUUAAUAGUGCAGCAAUGAGUCGAGUGGAGGGCAAGGAUUGGUGGGGAAAAUAAAAGUGCAUUAAAUGUGCUUAAGCGAGCGAAAGGUCAUGUGCGUGAUUACUCAUACGCCGUGUGGCCGUCGCGGAGAUCAUGGAACUGAGAGGAGGAUUUCAUAUCAAUGGCAUGACAUAUUAAACGAGCCACCAAAGCGGAUUUGUCCCUAUAUGUGUACACUAUAUAUAUAUGUGCUUCAAAUCUUCAGAUAGCAUGAGUGGUGGGCGUAAGCGGCGGUGGAGGCGUGGCCGAGAACAUCUGUAGCGAUUUCUUGGUCUUCACAAAUCAGAGCGUAAAUAUGCAGCGUAAAUAGCGUAGAGCGUAAAUAUGUAAUGAAGCUGGGCGAGAAAGCGAGACGAGGAGCGAGAAGCGAUGCGUGUUCUGAUAGCGAAAUCUGCUCAGAGGCACUUCAAUGGAUUUUGAUGAUAUGCCUCUGGAGCAGAUUCCUGAAUCAUUUCCAGCAUCUCCCGCCCAUAUCCACUCGAACCAGUCCCCACUGUGCCUUGGACACAUAUGCGGGUAAAGUCCAGCUCUGAAUAGACUCACUAUAUAAUAGGUGGGGGAGUCCAACGAGGAGUUGGAGAUAAAAGGGAGACGGAGGCCAAGUCGACGGCCAUUAGCUGCUUAUCGCGCUUCGUCUUCGGCUGCUGAUUCUUUUAUAUAUAUUCCGGAUUUUUUCUUCUUUAUUUUUCUGUUUGUCUUCCAUUGAGCGGCACUGGAGAAAGGGGCUGGGAGAGAGCGGGAGUCCAGCGACAGCUAUCAAGUGUCUGCCACGGACACGGACGGGAGGUAAGGGUUAAAGCCAUAGACAACGUCGAGUGUGUUUGGCCAUGGCUUGUGACAUGAAAUGUUAUCAGAAAGGAUUAUGACAAGCCCGCUGCCGAGGCGAGAAACAGAGAAACAGCCACCGAUGGAACUGUAUCACUGGCACACUGUCCCGAUGAUGGCGAUGGCGACGAUAUGGCCGACAAGCAAGUGUCAGAGUCGGACAUCGGAGGCCAUAAAAAAAUGUACACGAAAGGAGCAAAGGACCUCUCCAGAAGCUCACUUCAGUCGGUGAAAAGUUUCAUCAACUCCUCGGGCUAGUAAAAAGAUUAUGAUAGCCGGGGAGAGUCAGGAGUCGGGGAUAAGUAUAGCAAUUGUUGGCUAAAUAAGUUGUGGAUUUCUCACUUGAGUUUCUAUUUUGUAUUGGACUUCCAUAUUAAAUCAAAUAAAUGCAGAUGGGCCUCCAUCACCGGAUGAAUCACUUCAUCUUAUCGGCCACUGAAGAAACAACAACCGGAUGAUGACAAAGCCAAGAUCGCUGAAAGAAAACACUCGACUUCUGUGUGUAAUUCCGGUCUGUGGGCUUCUGGUCUUCGGAAUGCACUCGCAAGAAACUGAAACGAUCCCCGCCGUUAAAUGCAAUCUACUUAGAGUCUUAUAACUUCAUAACUUUUAUGGUCGGCAAGUGAGGCAGUUUAUAGUUUAGAGCCAGAUGGAGGCUCCGCCAUGUAAUUAAAACCGAGGCAGUGGCAAUUAACAACAGUUGAGCUGCAAGUAUCAGUCCAGCGACUAGUCUUUCAACUACAGUUAGUGGGUUGUAUGUAAUGGCCUUGGCAGCAAACUUGGCUAGUUGCAACCCGAGUGACAUUCCUUGCUUUCCUUCCACUCUGCUGUCAACCAGAUCUCUGCUGUCCAAAAGCUGUUCAAUAAUGCAAUGAAAACAUUUAAACUUCAGCUAGAAUAAAGUCAAGUUUUAUUUCA